GUAGAUAUAGUUUAAUAAAUACUAGAUUGUGAUUCUAGAGUUAGAGGUUAAACCCCCCUUAUCAACC
This 67-nucleotide transfer RNA is filed under the name Xenopus pygmaeus (Bouchia clawed frog). RNAcentral's name for it is "tRNA-His". It matches the Rfam family "tRNA". From Rfam's summary of the family: Transfer RNA (tRNA) molecules are approximately 80 nucleotides in length. Lineage: Eukaryota; Metazoa; Chordata; Amphibia; Anura; Pipidae. The record is from RNAcentral.